GCUUGCUUUGGCAAGACGUAUACUAAAAUUGAAUGAUAUAGAAAAGAUUAGCAUGGCCACUGCACAAGUAAUUCAUGCAAGGGGGUGGGUUUGGCAUAAUAGUU
Molecule: small nuclear RNA, 104 nt
Organism: Protopterus annectens (West African lungfish)
Lineage: Eukaryota; Metazoa; Chordata; Ceratodontiformes; Protopteridae
Source: RefSeq, a predicted model, not a curated record